Molecule: long non-coding RNA, 214 nt
Filed under: Elaeis guineensis (African oil palm)
Lineage: Eukaryota; Viridiplantae; Streptophyta; Magnoliopsida; Arecales; Arecaceae
Description: long non-coding RNA (EGUI_LNC048563)
Source: RNAcentral
CUAAGUCUCAGAACUUAGUCGAUCUAUUGUGAUGAGAAGGCUCAAUCCAAGGGUGAGUCGAUUCAAGUUUCAGAUCUAAAUGAUUGUGUAUAAAAUUAAUUAUAAAAAUAUUUUAUAAAAUUAGAUAUUAUUUUCAAAUACCGAACCCUUACCCACAGUCUCAAACUUAAUUGAGAAUUAAGUUGAACAAAUUAGAUCUAAAAUUAUGAAUUAA